CAAUGGCAUAAGCCCGCUUAACUGCGAGAAUGACGGUUCGAGCAGGUGCGAAAGCAGGUCAUAGUGAUCCGGUGGUUCUGUAUGGAAGGGCCAUCGCUCAACGGAUAAAAGGUACUCCGGGGAUAACAGGCUGAUACCGCCCAAGAGUUCAUAUCGACGGCGGUGUUUGGCACCUCGAUGUCGGCUCAUCACAUCCUGGGGCUGAAGUCGGUCCCAAGGGUAUGGCUGUUCGCCAUUUAAAGUGGUACGCGAGCUGGGUUUAGAACGUCGUGAGACAGUUCGGUCCCUAUCUGCCGUGGGCGUUGGAAGAUUGAAGGGGGCUGCUCCUAGUACGAGAGGACCGGAGUGGACGAACCUCUGGUGUUCGGGUUGUGUCGCCAGACGCAUUGCCCGGUAGCUAAGUUCGGAAUUGAUAAGCGCUGAAAGCAUCUAAGCGCGAAGCGAGCCCUGAGAUGAGUCUUCCCUGAUACUUUAAGUAUCCUAAAGGGUUGUUCGAGACUAGAACGUUGAUAGGCAGGGUGUGUAAGCGUUGUGAGGCGUUGAGCUAACCUGUACUAAUUGCCCGUGAGGCUUAACCAU
Molecule: ribosomal RNA, 579 nt
Filed under: Vibrio cholerae CT 5369-93
Lineage: Bacteria; Pseudomonadati; Pseudomonadota; Gammaproteobacteria; Vibrionales; Vibrionaceae
Description: bacterial LSU rRNA
Rfam family: Bacterial large subunit ribosomal RNA
Source: RNAcentral